RNAcentral lists this unclassified non-coding RNA (20 nucleotides) under Chlamydomonas reinhardtii. RNAcentral's name for it is "small RNA Cre_2223". The record is from RNAcentral. Lineage: Eukaryota; Viridiplantae; Chlorophyta; Chlorophyceae; Chlamydomonadales; Chlamydomonadaceae.
UACGCCGUGAAUGCUCGACA